AGCAGCCGCGGUAAUUCCAGCUCCAAUAGCGUAUAUUAAAGUUGCUGCAGUUAAAAAGCUCGUAGUUGAAUUUCGGGAUCAAUAUGUUGGUCGUGCCUCGGUACGUACUAGCUUAUUGGUUUCUCCCUUCUGACGAACCAUGAUGUCAUUUAUUUGGUGUUAUGGGAAAUCAGGACUGUUACUUUGAAAAAAUUAGAGUGUUUAAAGCAGGCUCACGCUUGAAUACAUUAGCAUGGAAUAAUGAAAUAGGACGUUUGAUUCUAUUUUGUUGGUUUCUAGGAUCGACGUAAUGAUUAAUAGGGAUAGUUGGGGGCAUUAGUAUUCAAUUGUCAGAGGUGAAAUUCUUGGAUUUAUUGAAGACUAACUACUGCGAAAGCAUUUGCCAAGGAUGUUUUCAUUAAUCAAGAACGAAAGUUAGGGGAUCGAAGACGAUCAGAUACCGUCGUAGUCUUAACCAUAAACUAUGCCGACUAGGGAUCGGAUGAUGUUAAUUUUUAAUGACUCAUUCG
Molecule: ribosomal RNA, 509 nt
Filed under: uncultured Glomus
Lineage: Eukaryota; Fungi; Glomeromycota; Glomeromycetes; Glomerales; Glomeraceae
Description: SSU rRNA
Rfam family: Eukaryotic small subunit ribosomal RNA
Source: RNAcentral